GGGUUUUGGAAGACUUUUCUCCAUUUUAGAGAUCUUGGUGAUUCAAGUCUAGAGAGAGAAAGUCUAGAGAGAGAAAGUGGUUGUAAUCGUGAAUCUUGUACCGGAUUUGUCAUAUCUUUCAAUAAAUCACGAUUAGUAGUACGUUAUUGUGUGUUCGGUCACGUACGUUCACGGAUUCCGCACGUGAAACGUACGUUACGCAAUCGAACAACAACAUCAAGAACACUCCGUUUACGUCACGUUGAUCAGAUUUCGAGUGUGUAGUAUGUAGAUCGAGUCGAAACUCAGUCCGGUUGUCGUCGUUUCAUAACAAACGUUGUUUAAUUACGUCUUCGCGCACGAUUACGGUUCGAUUUAACGGAUUCCACACGUUAAAUCGAAUCCACCGCAGAUCUAGUGAUCGUUUUCGAUCCGAUCCUGUACUUACAAGUGGUAUCAGAGCUACGGAUGCUCUGCGUGUAAUCGUGAUCGAAAUCAGACGAGUUUUGCUCAGUUUCAGUGAAAUCGAAUCGAAUUUCGGUUAAUUUCGGACUAUUUUUCGGUGAAUUUCGAUUCGUUUCGGUGUGUUGAUUGAACUCUCUGAACUGUUUACAGUAAAUACGUGAUUGAUUUGAUGCGAUUCAAUGAUUUUUAUUGAACUUUCAUAUAUUUCAAACUGUUUUGAAUGAUUAUCUAUCUGAUUUGA
Molecule: long non-coding RNA, 685 nt
Filed under: Helianthus annuus (common sunflower)
Lineage: Eukaryota; Viridiplantae; Streptophyta; Magnoliopsida; Asterales; Asteraceae
Description: hypothetical non coding rna
Source: RNAcentral